CAAAAACUGUUGAUUGCAUCUUCAUAGGAUAUGCAAACAAUAGUAGUGCGUACCGAUUCUUGGUACACAAAUCGAAAGUCCCGAUAUAAAUGAGAGAAUAAUUAUAGAAUCAAGAAAUGCCAUAUUUUUUGAAACUACAUUCCCUAAGAAAGAGAGAGAAUUUAUUCUCGCCUCGGUUCUGCAUCUUUUUCAUUUAUCGUCAUUCUAUUUUCUACACUACCAAAUAACAAUCGUAAGGCAAAAUUACUUCCGCUCUGUGCUCGCGGAUCUACAGUAAUUGUCCCCAAGAUACAACGGUUUAGGGAUGAUAGACGAGUCCUUAGCACUAGGAGUUCGCUAUCCGGUCGAACGGCUUGAUACUCGGGACUGAGUAUGUAAACUAAACUAAUAUGACAAAUUAAUUAUCUGAAUUCGUUGGUGUGUUUAAUCUCAUUAUGGAGGGCCCUAUUUAUAGUAGUCCAGGGGUUUCCUUGAACUGACGUGACUGUUUGGCCAAACAGGAGGUCCGAACAGGCGUGUCUCUUCGGUCUUAAACCGUCGCCACGUGUCCUGUUUGGACAAACAGAUCCGAACCAUCGUGUCUAUUCGGUCCUUAACCGCUGCCACGUCGGUUUGGGCAAACAGGUGGUCCGAACCGUCGUGUCUCUUCGGUCCUUAACCGUCGCCACGUGCACUGUUUGGGCAAACAGGUGCUCCGAACCAUGGAUAUCUUUGGGCAUUAAUUAUUCAUUCAAUUCUUUACAGAUUUGAACAAGUAAAUAUGCCAAAUUAAUCUACUCAACAUGUAGAUUCCAAAAAUAUCAUUUAAUUCCAUUAAUUACCAAAGUAAUUAUGGUAUUAAAUAUGCUAUUUAUUCCAACAAAUCUUAUAUAAAUAAUCUGUUGCAAUCAUUUUGUAUUUUUACUCGGUCAUUCCUCAAAGUCAAAAGUUGGCAAACACAACCAUCCCGCUAAAAAUGGUUUCAGAAAAUACAUUUAAUAAUGUUACAGUAUUUGACAUGUAUAGUUUUAUAUAUAAUUAUUCUAUUUUACUCUUAUUUAUAGUAUUUUUUUUAUUAAAUAUUACAGUGGACUAUAUUUUGAGAAAAAAUAAUUUGGGAGUAAUUACAAAAUCAUAGUAACAAGCAGAAGUGAAUGAUUAUUUUGGCAAAAGAGAGAACAAGUGAAGAUUUGUGUUUGUGAAGAGGAUUAUUUAUUUAUAGCAAGAUAGGAAAUCAGUGAAGGCGGGUGCAAAGCGAGAGGCCAUCUCCAACGGAAAGAUGAGCGAGGUCGAUGCGAGAAUCAUUGGCCAAAAAGGUGUUCAAAUUCCUAAGAAAGAUGCGAGUAUCGCCGAUCUUAUCCUUCCACUCCUGGGUGAGAUCAUCGUCGGCCAAUGCGACGGUGCCGGACCACAAGGUGUUGUCGUAGGCGAUCAUUCCUCCCACCCUCACAAGCUUCAGCAGCAGCUCGUGGUACUUGAUGUAGUUUUCCUUGUCCGCGUCCACAAAUGCGAAAUCGAACGUCCCUUCUUCUCCCUGUUCAUUAUUUUCACUUAUAUUUCUCUAUUCAAAUACAUUUAAUUAAAUGCAUAGACUCACAUUAUCCAGUAAUUCGUUGAUAGCAGUGACUGCGUCUGAAUUAAUGAAUUCGAUCUUAUGAGCCA
Long non-coding RNA from Salvia miltiorrhiza (redroot sage), 1641 nucleotides. RefSeq lists it as uncharacterized. The record is from RefSeq and is a predicted model, not a curated record. The transcript has 2 exons. NCBI's taxonomy places the organism in Eukaryota, Viridiplantae, Streptophyta, Magnoliopsida, Lamiales, Lamiaceae.